AUUGAACGCUGGCGGCAUGCCUUACACAUGCAAGUCGAACGGAUUCAAGAGGCUUGCUUCUUGAGUUAGUGGCGAACGGGUGAGUAAAGCAUCGGAACGUACCCAGUUGUGGGGGAUAACGUAGCGAAAGUUACGCUAAUACCGCAUACGCACUGAGGUGGAAAGCGGGGGACCGAAAGGCCUCGCGCAAUUGGAGCGGCCGAUGUCGGAUUAGCUAGUUGGUGAGGUAAAGGCUCACCAAGGCGACGAUCCGUAGCUGGUCUGAGAGGACGACCAGCCACACUGGAACUGAGACACGGUCCAGACUCCUACGGGAGGCAGCAGUGGGGAAUUUUGGACAAUGGGCGAAAGCCUGAUCCAGCCAUGCCGCGUGAGUGAAGAAGGCCUUCGGGUUGUAAAGCUCUUUCAGACGGAAAGAAAUCUUUCGGGUGAAUAUCCCGGAAGGAUGACGGUACCGUAAGAAGAAGCACCGGCUAACUACGUGCCAGCAGCCGCCGUAA
Molecule: ribosomal RNA, 500 nt
Filed under: uncultured bacterium
Lineage: Bacteria
Description: partial 16S ribosomal RNA
Rfam family: Bacterial small subunit ribosomal RNA
Source: RNAcentral